GAUAAACGCUAGCGGCAGGCUUAACACAUGCAAGUCGAGGGGCAGCAUAGAUUGUAGCAAUACAAUUGGUGGCGACCGGCGCACGGGUGCGUAACGCGUAUGCAACCUACCCGUCACAGGGGGAUAAUCCGGAGAAAUCUGGCCUAAUACCCCAUAACAUAUGGAUCGGCAUCGGUUCAUGUUGAAAUUUUCGGAGGUGACGGAUGGGCAUGCGUAGCAUUAGCUUGUUGGUGAGGUAACGGCUCACCAAGGCGACGAUGCUUAGGGGGACUGAGAGGUUUUCCCCCCACACUGGUACUGAGCCACGGACCAGACUCCUACGGGAGGCAGCAGUGAGGAAUAUUGGUCAAUGGGCGCAAGCUUGAACCAGCCAUGCCGCGUGCAGGAUGACGGCUCUAUGAGUUGUAAACUGCUUUUGUACGAGGGUAAAGUGGGUUACGUGUAACCUUUUGAAAGUAUCGUACGAAUAAGGAUCGGCUAACUCCGUGCCAGCCGCCGCCGUAA
RNAcentral lists this ribosomal RNA (504 nucleotides) under uncultured bacterium. RNAcentral's name for it is "partial 16S ribosomal RNA". It matches the Rfam family "Bacterial small subunit ribosomal RNA", at positions 28 to 523 of the family's 1533-position model. The record is from RNAcentral.